RNAcentral lists this ribosomal RNA (496 nucleotides) under uncultured bacterium. RNAcentral describes it as "partial 16S ribosomal RNA". It matches the Rfam family "Bacterial small subunit ribosomal RNA", at positions 30 to 523 of the family's 1533-position model. The record is from RNAcentral.
AUUGAACGCUGGCGGAAUGCUUUACACAUGUAAGUCGAACGGUAGAGGGGGCAACCCCUCGAGAGUGGCGAACGGGUGAGUAAUAUAUCGGAACGUGCACAGUCGUGGGGGAUAACGUAGCGAAAGUUACGCUAAUACCGCAUACGAUCUAAGGAGGAAAGCGGGGGAUCGCAAGACCUCGCGCGAUUGGCGCGCCCGAUAUCAGAUUAGUUAGUUGGUGGGGUAAGGGCCCACCAAGCCAACGAUCUGGAGCUGGUCUGCGAGGACGACCAGCCACACUGUAACUGAGACACGGUCCAGACUCCUACUGGAGGCAGCAGUAGGGAAUUUUGGACAAUGGGCGCAAGUCUGAUCCAGCCAUUCCGCGUGCAGGAUGAAGGCCCUCGGGUUGUAAACUGCGUUUGUACGGAACGAAAAGGUCUCUCAUAAUACGGGGGACUCAUGACGGUACCGUAAGAAUAAGCACCGGCUAACUACGUGCCAGCCGCCGCGGUAA